Molecule: ribosomal RNA, 301 nt
Filed under: uncultured bacterium
Lineage: Bacteria
Description: partial 16S ribosomal RNA
Rfam family: Bacterial small subunit ribosomal RNA
Source: RNAcentral
CAGUCGCCGCGGUAAUACGGAGGGUGCUAGCGUUGUUCGGAAUCACUGGGCGUAAAGGGCGCGUAGGCGGCCUGUUAAGUCGGAUGUGAAAGCCCGGGGCUCAACCCCGGAACUGCAUCCGAGACUGGCAGGCUUGAGACCGGGAGAGGAGGGUGGAAUAUCCAGUGUAGAGGUGAAAUUCGUAGAUAUUGGAUGGAACACCGGUGGCGAAAGCGGCUCUCUGGCCCGGAUCUGACGCUGAGGCGCGAAAGCGUGGGGAGCAAACAGGAUUAGAUACCCGGGUAGUCCCUGUCUCUUAUAC